Molecule: long non-coding RNA, 504 nt
Filed under: Zea mays
Lineage: Eukaryota; Viridiplantae; Streptophyta; Magnoliopsida; Poales; Poaceae
Description: drought responsive lncRNA
Source: RNAcentral
CCAGAGUUCCACGCCUCCACCAGACCACCACCCAUUUGUCCCCGACCCCGACCGCUGCUGCACAUCAUCCUCCCGCCGCUCGGCGUCUUCCUCCGAUUCGGCUGCUGCAGAGAGCAGAGUAAGCACCUCUUCCCAGGCACCCGAUCAUCCCAUGAUCCGUUCCUCUGUGCACACGCCUCUUGGCCCGGACUCCCUCGUUCGCACCGCGCGUGCCUGCCUCUGCCUAUAGCGUCGCGCUAGGUUUCGGUAGGCGAAUCAUUCGAUUUUUCAAGCUAUUCGGACGGUGCUCGAUAGGAAUUCCAACGCAUAGGAGUAUCAAACGAUUAACUUAGGGCCUGUUUGUUUACCCCAUAGAUUAUAUAAUCUGGAUUAAAUAAUCCUAAAAGACAAACAAACAGUCUAGCUUAUUUGCCCAGAUUAUAUAAUCUAACCCCUUGGAUUAUGAUAAUCCAUAAGCAAGUGAGGAUGUGCUUAUUUCAGAUUAUUUUUUUCCCACUUCCCCAC